AUACGUAGGUGGCGAGCGUUAUCCGGAAUUACUGGGUGUAAAGGGAGCGCAGGCGGGGGUGCAAGUUGGAUGUGAAAUACCGCAGCUUAACUGCGGAGCUGCAUCCAAAACUGUAUUUCUUGAGUGAAGUAGAGGUAGGCGGAAUUCCUAGUGUAGCGGUGAAAUGCGUAGAUAUUAGGAGGAACACCAGUGGCGAAGGCGGCCUACUGGGCUUUAACUGACGCUGAGGCUCGAAAGUGUGGGGAGCAAACAGGAUUAGAUACCCUGGUAGUCCACACCGUAAACGAUGAUUGCUAGGUGUGGGGGGACUGACCCCUUCCGUGCCGGAGUAAACACAAUAAGCAAUCCACCUGGGGAGUACGACCGCAAGGUUGAAACUCAAAGGAAUUGACGGGG
This 396-nucleotide ribosomal RNA is filed under the name uncultured bacterium. Its description in RNAcentral is "partial 16S ribosomal RNA". It matches the Rfam family "Bacterial small subunit ribosomal RNA", at positions 523 to 918 of the family's 1533-position model. The record is from RNAcentral.